AGACUUUGAUCCUGGCUCAGAUUGAACGCUGGCGGCAGGCCUAACACAUGCAAGUCGAGCGGAUGAAGAGAGCUUGCUCUCUGAUUCAGCGGCGGACGGGUGAGUAAUGCCUAGGAAUCUGCCUGGUAGUGGGGGACAACGUUUCGAAAGGAACGCUAAUACCGCAUACGUCCUACGGGAGAAAGCAGGGGACCUUCGGGCCUUGCGCUAUCAGAUGAGCCUAGGUCGGAUUAGCUAGUAGGUGAGGUAAUGGCUCACCUAGGCGACGAUCCGUAACUGGUCUGAGAGGAUGAUCAGUCACACUGGAACUGAGACACGGUCCAGACUCCUACGGGAGGCAGCAGUGGGGAAUAUUGGACAAUGGGCGAAAGCCUGAUCCAGCCAUGCCGCGUGUGUGAAGAAGGUCUUCGGAUUGUAAAGCACUUUAAGUUGGGAGGAAGGGCAGUAAGUUAAUACCUUGCUGUUUUGACGUUACCAACAGAAUAAGCACCGGCUAACUUCGUGCCAGCAGCCGCGGUAAUACGAAGGGUGCAAGCGUUAAUCGGAAUUACUGGGCGUAAAGCGCGCGUAGGUGGUUCAGCAAGUUGGAGGUGAAAUCCCCGGGCUCAACCUGGGAACUGCCUCCAAAACUACUGAGCUAGAGUACGGUAGAGGGUAGUGGAAUUUCCUGUGUAGCGGUGAAAUGCGUAGAUAUAGGAAGGAACAAAAGUGGCGAAGGCGACUACCUGGACUGAUACUGACACUGAGGUGCGA
This 753-nucleotide ribosomal RNA is filed under the name uncultured bacterium. Its description in RNAcentral is "bacterial SSU rRNA". It matches the Rfam family "Bacterial small subunit ribosomal RNA", at positions 8 to 756 of the family's 1533-position model. The record is from RNAcentral.